AGAAAUAGCUCUGGGAUCUGCGACGUACACUGCAUUUUCUGGCAGGCAGAAAUCAGGAGUUUUUCAUAAAUGUGCAAAAGGAAGCUGGGGCUUAAGGAGACCCUUCUAAUAGCGGGUGUGGGAGCAGAGGACCUCUCUCUUUCCAUACUGCUAAUUUCAAGCUGUACUUUCUUCUCAGAAUUGUUUCUGUACUCUUCAGUGAGACACCAUGGACUAAGUUCAGCAACAAGAAACAUGGAAGAGCUGGUCCCUAGCUGGGUACAUCUCUUUGAUAUUACAGAGGUACAGGAUGCUCUAACACCAUCUCACUUCAAACUAGAGACCUGCCAUAGUAUCUUAUCUUCUACUGUCACCCUGACUCCAGUGCCAUAAAGAAACCAAUACUGUUUACUGGCAUACUGCACAGGUAGCUCCAUCUUUCAUGAGCUGAAAUCUGCCCUCUUCUCACUGUAUGAGAAGCUACAAGAUGUCCUUUGGACUCUCACCCAAGCAUGACCAGCUGCACAAGCAAGUCUGUGUUGUAAAGGUAACUGACAUCAGGAACAGAACAACCUCUAGAGAAGUAUUUGGCACAGAACACAUAAAACUAUGCUUUGCCUGGCUACUAUCAUCAGCGAGAAUCUCUGUCACCAUAGACAUAAUAAUCGGAAAGCUAUGACUGCGGCAAAAAUUAGUAAUAACAUCCAAUAUGCUAAGUAAGUUCCUUUUAGUGGUGUACCUGAGUUGUGCAAACAGGGAUAAAAUAAAACUCAUUUUCACCUUU
Long non-coding RNA from Gallus gallus (chicken), 763 nucleotides. Lineage: Eukaryota; Metazoa; Chordata; Aves; Galliformes; Phasianidae. The record is from Ensembl.